CGUGAGCGGCGGACGGGUGAGUAACGCGUGGGUAACCUGCCUCAUACAGGGGGAUAACAGUUGGAAACGGCUGCUAAUACCGCAUAAGCGCACAGUACCGCAUGGUACGGUGUGAAAAACUCCGGUGGUAUGAGAUGGACCCGCGUCUGAUUAGGUAGUUGGUGGGGUAACGGCCUACCAAGUCGACGAUCAGUAGCCGACCUGAGAGGGUGACCGGCCACAUUGGGACUGAGACACGGCCCAA
RNAcentral lists this ribosomal RNA (244 nucleotides) under uncultured bacterium. RNAcentral's name for it is "partial 16S ribosomal RNA". It matches the Rfam family "Bacterial small subunit ribosomal RNA", at positions 90 to 334 of the family's 1533-position model. The record is from RNAcentral.